UAGUCCACGCCGUAAACUAUGCAUACAAGGCGUAGCUGGGAUUGACUCCGGCUGUGCCGAAGCUAACGCAUCUAGCAUGCCGCCUGGGGAGUACGGUCGCAAGACUAAAACUCAAAGGAAUUGACGGGGGCCCGCACAAGCGGUGGAUUAUGUGGUUUAAUUCGAAGCAACGCGCAGAACCUUACCUGGGCUUGACAUCCUUCGACCGCUACGGAAACGUAGUUUUCUCUUCGGAGACGGAGUGACAGGUGCUGCAUGGCUGUCGUCAGCUCGUGUUGUGAAAUGUUGGGUUAAGUCCCGCAACGAGCGCAACCCAUAUCAUUAGUUGCCAACAGGUAAUGCUGGGGACUCUAAUGAGACUGCCCGUGUCAAGCGGGAGGAAGGCGUGGACGACGUCAAGUCAGUAUGGCCCUUACACCCAGGGCUGCACACGUGCUACAAUGGCGACUACAGAAGGCAGCAAUACCGCGAGGUUGAGCAAAUCCGUUAAAAGUCGCCCC
RNAcentral lists this ribosomal RNA (500 nucleotides) under uncultured bacterium. RNAcentral describes it as "bacterial SSU rRNA". It matches the Rfam family "Bacterial small subunit ribosomal RNA", at positions 791 to 1289 of the family's 1533-position model. The record is from RNAcentral.